AUUGAACGCUGGCGGCAGGCCUAACACAUGCAAGUCGAACGGUAACAGGAAGCAGCUUGCUGCUUCGCUGACGAGUGGCGGACGGGUGAGUAAUGUCUGGGAAGCUGCCUGAUGGAGGGGGAUAACUACUGGAAACGGUAGCUAAUACCGCAUAAUGUCGCAAGACCAAAGAGGGGGACCUUCGGGCCUCUUGCCAUCGGAUGUGCCCAGAUGGGAUUAGCUUGUUGGUGGGGUAACAGCUCACCAAGGCGACGAUCCCUAGCUGGUCUGAGAGGAUGACCAGCCACACUGGAACUGAGACACGGUCCAGACUCCUACGGGAGGCAGCAGUGGGGAAUAUUGCACAAUGGGCGCAAGCCUGAUGCAGCCAUGCCGCGUGUAUGAAGAAGGCCUUCGGGUUGUAAAGUACUUUCAGCGGGGAGGAAGGGAGUAAAGUUAAUACCUUUGCUCAUUGACGUUACCCGCAGAAGAAGCACCGGCUAACUCCGUG
This 490-nucleotide ribosomal RNA is filed under the name uncultured bacterium. Its description in RNAcentral is "partial 16S ribosomal RNA". It matches the Rfam family "Bacterial small subunit ribosomal RNA", at positions 30 to 507 of the family's 1533-position model. The record is from RNAcentral.